AUGGUCGACCUGCAGGCGGCCGCGAAUUCACUAGUGAUUCGUAUUACCGCGGCUGCUGGCACAGAGUUAGCCGGUGCUUAUUCUGUCGGUCGUCAAGGCAGCAAAGUAUUAAUUUACUGCCCUUCCUCCCAACUUAAAGUGCUUUACAAUCCGAAGACCUUCUUCACACACGCGGCAUGGCUGGAUCAGGCUUUCGCCCAUUGUCCAAUAUUCCCCACUGCUGCCUCCCGUAGGAGUCUGGACCGUGUCUCAGUUCCAGUGUGACUGAUCAUCCUCUCAGACCAGUUACGGAUCGUCGCCUUGGUGAGCCAUUACCCCACCAACUAGCUAAUCCGACCUAGGCUCAUCUGAUAGCGCAAGGCCCGAAGGUCCCCUGCUUUCUCCCGUAGGACGUAUGCGGUAUUAGCGUCCGUUUCCGAACGUUAUCCCCCACUACCAGGCAGAUUCCUAGGCAUUAAUCACCCGUCCGCCGCUCUCAAGAGAAGCAAGCUUCUCUCUACCGCGACUUCAUGUGUUACUGCCGCCAGCGUUCAAUCUGAGCCAGGAUCAAACUCUAAUCGAAUUCCCGCGGCCGCCAUGGCG
Molecule: ribosomal RNA, 582 nt
Filed under: uncultured Gammaproteobacteria bacterium
Lineage: Bacteria; Pseudomonadati; Pseudomonadota; Gammaproteobacteria
Description: partial 16S ribosomal RNA
Source: RNAcentral